AGUAUCGCGAUAGAAUGCGCGGUGAUACGUCCGGGGUUUGUACACACGCCCGGCAGAAACGAAAGUUGGAAUACUCAAAAACGGAGCCUAACUUCUUCGGAAGAGGGAACCGUCUAGGGGAGGAUCGAUGAUUGGGGUUAAUCGAACAAGGUAUCCCUACCGGAGGUGGGGAUGGAUCACCUUCUUUUAAGA
This 192-nucleotide ribosomal RNA is filed under the name Candidatus Phytoplasma sacchari. Its description in RNAcentral is "partial 16S ribosomal RNA". It matches the Rfam family "Bacterial small subunit ribosomal RNA", at positions 1336 to 1533 of the family's 1533-position model. The record is from RNAcentral. Lineage: Bacteria; Bacillati; Mycoplasmatota; Mollicutes; Acholeplasmatales; Acholeplasmataceae.